GAAAGAUUUAUCGCUUUAAGAUUGGCCCGCGGAAGAUUAGGUAGUUGGUGGGGUAAAGGCCUACCAAGCCGACGAUCUAUAGCUGGUCUGAGAGGACGAACAGCCACAUUGGAACUGAGACACGGUCCAGACUCCUACGGGAGGCAGCAGUGAGGAAUAUUGGGCAAUGGAGGAAACUCUGACCCAGCCAUGCCGCGUGAGUGAAGAAGGUUUUCGAAUUGUAAAGCUCUUUCGGAUGUGAAGAUGAUGACGGUAACAUCUAAAGAAGCCCCGGCAAACUUCGUGCCAGCAGCCGCGGUAAUACGAAGGGGGCAAGCGUUGUUCGGAAUUACUGGGCGUAAAGGGUGUGUAGGCGGGAAAGUAAGAUAGUGGUGAAAUGCCUGAGCUCAACUUGGGAACUGCCAUUAUAACUAUUUUUCUAGAGUGACAGAGAGGAUAUUGGAAUACCCAGUGUAGAGGUGAAAUUCGUAGAUAUUGGGUAGAACACCGGAGGCGAAGGCGAGUAUCUGGCUGUCAACUGACGCUGAGGCACGAAAGCAUGGGGAUCAAACAGGAUUAGAUACCCUGGUAGUCCAUGCUGUAAACGAUGAAUGCUAGUUGUCGGCGAAUGUCG
Molecule: ribosomal RNA, 613 nt
Filed under: uncultured bacterium
Lineage: Bacteria
Description: bacterial SSU rRNA
Rfam family: Bacterial small subunit ribosomal RNA
Source: RNAcentral